CCGGAGUCAGCCACCGACGGCCUCGGCAGGCGAACCCUUGCGAUCGGACGGACGAGAUCGGCGGAUCGGAGGGAUGUGUCGGCGGAAGACGAGACACAGCCGACGAGUUGCGCAACGUGGCCUCGCAUCGCGCUCUCCGGUCACCGUAAAACGACAAAGCACAGAGGAGAGAGGUGAGUACGUGCUCAUUCCAUGUGCAUUUGGAUCGACUUUACCCAAUUAACAAUUGCAACAAUAAUAGCAUGUGUUUUAGAUUAGGGUUAGUCAAAAGCAUCCAACGAAAUCAAUUAAUAAAUCAAACAUAAUGAUUAACAAGUUAGAUUACAUUGGUUUAGUCUUGAUUUUGACAUUUGUGAUCAACAAGAACAUGGAUCUUAAUUAGUAAUUAUGUUAUGACAUAGGGAACCAGAUAGUUGGAAAAUGCUUAUAUAUAUGCUACAAAUUUGAUGUGCUUGAUCUCCAAUUGUUGGAAGGAAUCAUGUGAUGUGGUGUCAGGCAAAGUCUUCACUUCCUGGAGGGGUUGAUGGGGGGCAAAAACAACAUGAAUAUUAGUAUACUGCCACAUUUUGGCACACCAGUGUAUUGAUAUGAUCCAAAUUGACAAUUUAAAAGAAGAAUUUUCCCUAAGUCAUUUCUUGGAGGGGUUGAUGGGGGGCAAAACAAUAAGGAUAUUAGGAUAAUGCCACAGUUUGGCACACCAGCAAAUUGGUAUUAUCCAAAUUGAGUAUUAUAAAGAACAAUGUUCCCUUUGUGAAUGAUCUGAACACCCCCAUGACAAUUUCUGUAUCUCCAAAAUUUUCUUUCUAUCACGCAACUGACUUCAUGAUCCAACUUGUACAUUAUGCUCUCAUAACCAUUCUAAAUGCUGCUCGUCUCAUAUCUGUCUCAUUGACCAAUCCUUCGACAUUGUGGAUCGUACUCUGUUCUUUGAUGCAUUGAACGUGUGAUCGAGCGUUAGGUUUGAGUGGAUUGAAAAUAGUUUAGAAAGGCUACUUUGUUAUAUAUGUGAAGGGUUGGUGCAAAGCAUUGUAUGAUAAAAAAUGAGGAACCAACCACCUUAUUCCUCCUACUUCUAAAGAAAUUCCCUUGGCAGCACACGGGGCCAUCAAGAACUUGUUAAAUAUUUCCAUAACAUGUUUAUCUAUUUAUUUAUCUUCAUGAUGUGUUAAUCUUCUUGUUCGUGGCAUUUUCCUCCAUUAAUUAUUGUACCUUUUCCUUUUUUUCUCUAACCUCAUGUUUCUCAAUCAUCAUCUCAUUGAAGAAGUGUUCUAGUUAGGUACGUUAGCUGACAUGAAACCGAUUAUAGAAAACCUUAGAUCAAACUCAAGGAUCUAGUCAAUUACAUGAACAACAUGCAUUUAUGUAGUUGGCUGUUAAGAUAUGAGAUAAGAGAGAGAAAGAUGAAAGGAGAGCAAUAGGAGGAAAGAAACAUGAGAGAUUAGUCCUUAGAUACAGGUAGAGGUACGACAGAGAUAUAGAUCUAACUUUAGACUUGUUUAUCUUAAAUUGGCAGUGACAUAUGGCUUAAUAAUAGAGUUUUAAUUUGUCCACUUAACAUGAAAGUAAAGCCUUAUAUUCUCUCAACUCAAAUUUGUUUUCCAUGUAUAUAAGGAGAAACAUAGAAUAGAUAUAGAUACGUCAUGAUCAAAUAGAGAAUGUUGAUAAAGGUUCAUCCGCAGUCAAUAGACCAUAAAUAAUGUCAAGACCAGUACAUACCUAUUGCAUUGACUGUAGAACUAAACAAGUUUGAGGAAAAAUUCUAAAUCUUUAUUGGAUUAUCAAGGAGGAACAUGAAGUUAUCUGAGAGCCAAAGAAGACAAUAAUUUCCUUAGUGAAUGAGAAGAAAAAAAUAUAUAUUUUGUAUGGUAAUUUUUAGAUGCUUAGGUGUCAGUUUUUCUGAAUUUUUAUUUUGAUAUGACUAGUUUGUGUUUGCAUCCCAGUGGGGCAGAGGUCAGGUCCAAAUCAAGCAGUAAAUUAGGUGGUCCCGUCAUAUAAGACUUGAGGAAAAAGAAGUUUGCAUCCCCCAUUUUAUGUAGAGGCAUGGAGAUUAUAUGAGUACAAAUAUAGCAUUCAAUAAAGGGUUAGAAGAUAUCAUCUCUAUUAGUAAGGAACAUAGCUAACUUGGUCUGUGAGAAAAGAAAUAAACUCCCACCAAACAAAAUUCUAGUCUGAUCAUUUAGCUUUUCAAAACAUUAAAACAAAUCUAAAAAAUAUCAUAGAUAAAUCCUUUUAAUCGGGUAUAAUAGGAUUUGUGGAACUUGCAAUCCUCUUUAUUUGUUUGCCUUAUACUUCAUCAUGAUAUCAGAUCAAGUCUAUCGAUCCUCGACUUUGAUACCAUGGAGUGAGAGCAAGAAAAUAGAGCUGCACAUGAUAAACCCUGGAAGAUAAAGGUAAAAUUCAUCAAAGGACUAAAAGAGAUCAAUUGAAAAAUUAAUGUCAAACCCCAGAGGAUAAAUGUGACACUCAUUAAGGGAUUUAAGGAGAUAAACUAAAAAGUUUCAUGUUUAAACAAGCUGGGGUGAUUGUAACUUUAUCCUAGCCAAUGAGAUCUAAAUGCUUCAAACAAACAAAUAAAAUUUCUAUACUAUGAAAAAUAAAACAAAGAAAGAUAGGAGGUGCUAGGUCGAAAAUCUAUAUUAAGAACACAUUGUCAUAUAGUUACAUAUCCAUUUUUACUUGUAAUUAAGUUCAAAUGUCAUCUUUUACUAAGAAUAAAAACAAGAUAGUUACUCUGUACAACAUAGUAAUCGAAUAAGCCAGUAGUUAAAUAAUUAACAGAUUUGAUAACAAUAUAAUCAAAGUUAUUUUCACUAAUUAGUUACUGUAUAAAGUUUUGAGUCUGAGAUGAAAGCCAUACUUAUUAAAUGUUCUAGAGUUCAAGUGUCAGCAUGAGCAUGAGAUCAUUCUUUAAAUUGCAUUUCCAAGCUAAAUGCAGGAUUACAGAAGUUAUCAGAACUUCUACCAGCUUAAUUUAGCAGCUCGUUCUUCAUAUUACUAUUGCAGAUCGCCACUGGACAUGACUGCACCUUUCAAUGUAAACCAUCACAAAGUUUGCAAGCUAAACAGGGUAUAAAUUCUCUAUCAGAAAGAAUGAUUAGGUAGAACCAAUUAAUAAAGUUGAACUGAUCUGACCUUUUCAAGGAUCUUAUGAUGUUUGUUUACCUAACCUUAUCUUUAUUCUAUAAACGUACUGCCCAAAGAAAGUAGAAGGAAGAGUUGCCAGCAUGUACAUCAUAAUCUAAACUAAUCCUUAUUAGGACACAAGUUAAUGGCAUCAAGAACAUUAGUAGCUCACUGUCUGGCAUAAGAAUCCAAUGAACAUGAGUUCUUCCAGUGAUUACUUGUACAGAAGAAUUAGUCCUUUGAGAGUGAUCUGAACUGAAAGUGACAUUUCUUCUAAUUCAUGUUAAUUGGUGUACUAUUGAGCAUCUUUGGGGAAUUUACACAGGAAAGCUCUUUUCUUCAAUCAUCCUUUUUUUAUGUCCUUGGUUGUGUUCUAUCAUGGUAACCAUUGUUGUCGCUGAUACCAAUUUAUUGGGAUGAAAAUGAUAUGAUAUAAAUUCUUAACAACAAAGGCAGAUGCUGUGCACGUAAAUUCUUGGAAGUUGCAUUAUGUGACAUCAGUCUAGUAUUGGUCGAUUCUUGAUAACACUGCUCCCAGAAUGUAUGUUGUCUAUGGAUUACAUCCUGAAGGAUGAAAGGACCAUGGCCGUGCAGCAGUACGGUUAGGGCAUCACUUCCUCAUGGGGACACAUUUUUUAGUGCUCUUGAUGACAACCCACCAACCAACGCUUGUGGCAUCAACCAGGCAAUUCAAUAUGCUCGGGAGAAAUAAAUGUAGUUACUGCAAGUCCCAGUAUAUCAUGUUUGAUUGUCUGUGGCAGCAGGAGUUAACCUCUCUCUCUCUCUCUCU
Molecule: long non-coding RNA, 3913 nt
Filed under: Musa acuminata (dwarf banana)
Lineage: Eukaryota; Viridiplantae; Streptophyta; Magnoliopsida; Zingiberales; Musaceae
Description: long non-coding RNA (MACU_LNC010745)
Source: RNAcentral